This 28-nucleotide non-coding RNA is filed under the name Mus musculus (house mouse). The record is from RNAcentral. Lineage: Eukaryota; Metazoa; Chordata; Mammalia; Rodentia; Muridae.
UUUAAACCAGUCUGUCUAACUCCAACCU